CAGCCUGAUGCAGCAACGCCGCGUGAGGGACGACGGCCUAAGGGUUGUAAACCUCUUUUAGCAAGGAAGAAGCGAAAGUGACGGUACUUGCAGAAAAAGCGCCGGCUAACUACGUGCCAGCAGCCGCGGUAAUACGUAGGGCGCAAGCGUUAUCCGGAAUUAUUGGGCGUAAAGAGCUCGUAGGCGGUUUGUCGCGUCUGCUGUGAAAACUGGGGGCUCAACCCCCAGCCUGCAGUGGGUACGGGCAGACUAGAGUGCGGUAGGGGAGAUUGGAAUUCCUGGUGUAGCGGUGGAAUGCGCAGAUAUCAGGAGGAACACCGAUGGCGAAGGCAGAUCUCUGGGCCGUAACUGACGCUGAGGAGCGAAAGGGUGGGGAGCAAACAGGCUUAGAUACCCUGGUAGUCCACCCCGUAAACGUUGGGAACUAGUUGUGGGGUCCAUUCCACGGAUUCCGUGACGCAGCUAACGCAUUAAGUUCCCCGCCUGGGGAGUACGGCCGCAAGGCUAAAACUCAAAGGAAUUGACGGGGACCCGCACAAGCGGCGGAGCAUGCGGAUUAAUUCGAUGCAACGCGAAGAACCUUACCAAGGCUUGACAUAUACGAGAACGGGCCAGAAAUGGUCAACUCUUUGGA
RNAcentral lists this ribosomal RNA (634 nucleotides) under Microbacterium sp. So3Pt_188. Its description in RNAcentral is "bacterial SSU rRNA". It matches the Rfam family "Bacterial small subunit ribosomal RNA", at positions 379 to 1022 of the family's 1533-position model. Lineage: Bacteria; Bacillati; Actinomycetota; Actinomycetes; Micrococcales; Microbacteriaceae. The record is from RNAcentral.